This is a non-coding RNA of Onychomys torridus (southern grasshopper mouse), 375 nucleotides long. The record is from the annotation of a RefSeq genome assembly. NCBI's taxonomy places the organism in Eukaryota, Metazoa, Chordata, Mammalia, Rodentia, Cricetidae.
AUGGGAUGGAGCUGGAACAUCCUCUUCCUCCUGUCAGUAAUUACAGCUGUCUACUCCCAAGUCCAGCUGCAACAGUCUGGGGCUGAGCUGGUGAAACCUGGUUCGUUUGUGAAGUUGUCCUGCAAGGCUUCUGGGUACACCUUCACUGACUAUCUUGUGCACUACGUGAAGCAGAGGCCUGGACAGAGCCUAGAGUGGAUUGGAUGGAUGGAUCCUGAAGAUGGUGAAACUAAAUAUGCUCAGAAGUUCCAGGGCAAGGCCACACUGACUGCAGACACAUCCUCCAGCACAGCAUACAUGGAGCUCAGCAACCUGACAUCUGAGGACUCUGCGGUCUAUUUCUGUGCAAGACACAGUGUUACAACCACAUCCUGA